GGAGUGGUGCUCGAGUGGUUGAAGAGGCACGCCUGGAAAGCGUGUAAGCGUCAAAAGCGCUUCGGGGGUUCGAAUCCCCCUCACUCCG
Molecule: transfer RNA, 88 nt
Filed under: Muribaculaceae bacterium
Lineage: Bacteria; Pseudomonadati; Bacteroidota; Bacteroidia; Bacteroidales; Muribaculaceae
Also listed under: 1 other name
Description: tRNA-Ser
Rfam family: tRNA
About the family: Transfer RNA (tRNA) molecules are approximately 80 nucleotides in length.
Source: RNAcentral